CCUACGGGUGGCAGCAGUGGGGAAUAUUGGACAAUGGGCGAAAGCCUGAUCCAGCCAUGCCGCGUGUGUGAAGAAGGCCUUCGGGUUGUAAAGCACUUUCAGUGGGGAAGAAAGCCUUGGGGCUAAUACCCUCGAGGAAGGACAUCACCCACAGAAGAAGCACCGGCUAACUCCGUGCCAGCAGCCGCGGUAAUACGGAGGGUGCGAGCGUUAAUCGGAAUUACAGGGCGUAAAGCGCGCGUAGGCGGUCUGAUAAGCCGGUUGUGAAAGCCCCGGGCUCAACCUGGGAACGGCAUCCGGAACUGUCAGGCUAGAGUGCAGGAGAGGAAGGUAGAAUUCCCGGUGUAGCGGUGAAAUGCGUAGAGAUCGGGAGGAAUACCAGUGGCGAAGGCGGCCUUCUGGACUGACACUGACGCUGAGGUGCGAAAGCGUGGGUAGCAAACAGGAUUAGAUACCCUAGUAGUC
RNAcentral lists this ribosomal RNA (465 nucleotides) under Vreelandella stevensii. RNAcentral's name for it is "partial 16S ribosomal RNA". It matches the Rfam family "Bacterial small subunit ribosomal RNA", at positions 338 to 795 of the family's 1533-position model. Lineage: Bacteria; Pseudomonadati; Pseudomonadota; Gammaproteobacteria; Oceanospirillales; Halomonadaceae. The record is from RNAcentral.